CAGGAAGAAGUGACCUGCAGGGUGGAACGCCUAUCAGGCAGGCUGAAGAUAGAUCAAUGAAGGGGGGCCAUUGGAAGAAGGAGAGCCGUUUGCUGCUCUACAGUCAGAGAGAUAGGGUGGGAUUUCACAGGCUAGCAGCACAUGCUCUCACCACGCUGAGAGCUGAAAGACGUAUAGUACACGUGUGUGUUUGCAGUAGAAGGUCGCUUUUGAGGAAAAGUGUUCUGGGGUGUCAAAGGACCAGAGCUGUGGCUCUAAAGAAGAGACAGCGAGUGGGACAUACACAUCGGACGCUCUGACAAUGCCGGCUCAGGUUCCUGUGAGUUUGCCAUGGCGACCAGUGGGCCCUGACAGCAGCGGGGAUCACGGUCUUGCAGAGGAAGGG
This is a long non-coding RNA of Carassius gibelio (silver crucian carp), 385 nucleotides long. RefSeq lists it as uncharacterized. The record is from RefSeq and is a predicted model, not a curated record. NCBI's taxonomy places the organism in Eukaryota, Metazoa, Chordata, Actinopteri, Cypriniformes, Cyprinidae. The transcript has 2 exons.